CAAAAAGUUCGCUAGGGUUUUUCAUACGAUAUUAUGGGAAAACCUGAAUGAACUUUUUU
Molecule: microRNA precursor, 59 nt
Organism: Bison bison bison
Lineage: Eukaryota; Metazoa; Chordata; Mammalia; Artiodactyla; Bovidae
Source: Ensembl